Molecule: ribosomal RNA, 383 nt
Filed under: Coloburiscus humeralis
Lineage: Eukaryota; Metazoa; Arthropoda; Insecta; Ephemeroptera; Coloburiscidae
Description: partial 12S ribosomal RNA
Source: RNAcentral
UAAACUACGAUUAGAUACCCUAUUAUUCUAAUCGUUAAAUAAAAGCCAGAGUAGUAAUAGAUAUGUUCUUGAAACUCAAAGAAUUUGGCGGUGUUUUAGUCCAAUCAGAGGAGCCUGUUCCGUAAUCGAUAAUCCACGUUAAACUCAACUUAGGUUGGUAAUCAGUUUGUAUACCGCCGUCAGAAGAGUGUCUCAAGAGAAGAUACUCAGGAUUCUUUAAUAAGAAAUAUGUCAGGUCAAGGUGCAACUUAUGCCUAAGAGGAAAUGGGCUACAUUAAUGUUAAUUAAACGGAUUAGAGUUUGAAAUAGCUUUAUGAAGGUGGAUUUGGGUGUAAUGAAAAUAAGCUAAAGAUUGUGAUAGGGGCUCUAAAACAUGUACACAU